Molecule: ribosomal RNA, 502 nt
Filed under: uncultured Sphingobacteriales bacterium
Lineage: Bacteria; Pseudomonadati; Bacteroidota; Sphingobacteriia; Sphingobacteriales
Description: bacterial SSU rRNA
Rfam family: Bacterial small subunit ribosomal RNA
Source: RNAcentral
CGCCUUGCCAGCCCGCUCAGAAACUUAAGGAAUUGACGGGGGCCCGCACAAGCGGUGGAGCAUGUGGUUUAAUUCGAUGAUACGCGAGGAACCUUACCUGGGCUCAAAUGUAUGUUGACGUAUUCUGAAAGGGAUACUUCUUCGGACAAUAUACAAGGUGCUGCAUGGUUGUCGUCAGCUCGUGCCGUGAGGUGUCGGGUUAAGUCCCAUAACGAGCGCAACCCCUAUCAUUAGUUGCCAUCAGGUCAAGCUGGGGACUCUAAUGAAACUGCCUACGCAAGUAGUGAGGAAGGUGGGGAUGACGUCAAAUCAGCACGGCCCUUACGUCCAGGGCUACACACGUGCUACAAUGGCCGGUACAGAGGGCAGCCACUUGGUGACAAGGAGCAAAUCUCAAAAGCCGGUCUCAGUUCGGAUCGGAGUCUGCAACUCGACUCCGUGAAGUUGGAUUCGCUAGUAAUCGUAGAUCAGCAAUGCUACGGUGAAUACGUUCCCGGGCCUU